GACGAACGCUGGCGGCGUGCCUAAGAUAUGCAAGUCGAGCGGUAAGGUUCUCACUCUGUACUUUAGAGAUCUAGAGUAUGGUGUGAGAAUACACGAGCGGCGGACGGCUGAGUAACGCGUAGGAACAUACCCCAAAGUGAGGAAUAAGCUCGGGAAACCGAGUCUAAUGCCGCAUAAUCUCUUCGGAGCAAAGCUUUCGGGCGCUAUGGGGAGUGGCCUGCGUAUGAUUAGCUUGUUGGUGAGGUAAAAGCUCACCAAGGCGACGAUCAUUAGCUGGUCUGAGAGGAUGACCAGCCAGACUGGAACUGAGAACGGU
This 316-nucleotide ribosomal RNA is filed under the name uncultured bacterium. Its description in RNAcentral is "bacterial SSU rRNA". It matches the Rfam family "Bacterial small subunit ribosomal RNA", at positions 28 to 330 of the family's 1533-position model. The record is from RNAcentral.